Non-coding RNA from Ictidomys tridecemlineatus (thirteen-lined ground squirrel), 1259 nucleotides. NCBI's taxonomy places the organism in Eukaryota, Metazoa, Chordata, Mammalia, Rodentia, Sciuridae. The record is from RefSeq and is a predicted model, not a curated record.
CAUUUUGGACAGGUUUAACAGCUGUCUGAAAUGCUGAAUUGUUGGUGCCCAACAAUUCUUUGGCCUCAUCCUCCAUAAAAGCCUUCAGAAUUGUGAAAAGAACAAGCUAAAUGAUAUAUGACAAUCUUAUAAAUAAAUAGAUCCAUAACUCUAAGAUAGAUCCAAGGCUGAAUAUCUCAAAUGGCUUAGUUCCCAUUAGUCACUUGCCUCGGCGGCACCUCAAGUGUAUUAGCCUCACAAUUUUUUCAGCACCAUCUAUUAUCUUCCUUAUCAUUGACAUGAAAUUACCUUUGCAGAAUUCAACACAUGCACAUUCUAGUUCGCUGUCAAGUAGAAUGUGUUUGCUGGAUGCAGAAUUAAAUGUGAUGUCUACUUUAAACUUUUUCCCAAUUCAUUGUAUUCAACAAGUUGAAGGAAUGAUGAAUACUUCAAGACCUUGACAGAUUCUAUUAAUUCGAGUGCUCCAAAUAUCAAGAUGAUCCACACUAAAAGGCUUACUGGAAUUAUUGGUUUCCUCAUAAGCAAGAGAAUCAAUCCUUUGCAUCCCACUACAGACCUACGUGCCACAAACACCCCACUCCCAAAGAAAGGGCUGAAUCCUAAUACACCAGCUCCCAGUGGAGAACUGCCUGCCUGCAGUGUUCUAAAGAGACCAAGACAUCACAACUUCCAAUUUAGGCCUGAAAAAAAAAAAGCAAACCAGAAGUAGAAAUCUUAAAAGAACAUGUGAAUCACUACAAUGAGCCCUGAGAGAAUCAUCUCACGUGCAUUUGACAGCAAAGGUUUCCAAAGACAUCGAAACUUGAUUCUGAUCAUGUUCCUGGAUAUUCUCCUUCAUCCAACAGCCAAAAUAUGAGUACUCCUGAUUUCAACAUAUUCUUCAAUUUUAUUCAAAGGUUGGGCCAUACCAUAAGGGAAUACUUCCCUGAAAGCAAGGAGACCUGCCACAGAGAUUUUCUGACUAUAAUGUCUACAACUCAAAAUGCAAAAUAUCUACUAUCUGGGAAGUUAUCCAGAUUUUCUGUGCUGGCAGGUUGCUGAGUUGCCCAGAAAGGCACUUGUUUAAAUACAAAGAAUGGUGUGUAGAGGCACAGUACCAGCAAGAAAUUAAUUGCCUAGGAGAAGGAAGAAAAAAUAGUGAGUCUACUUCACACCAGAUACCAAGUCAGAACUGCUGCGUUGUUGGUUGCUGUAUGUCCAGCUUCUAAAAUGGUUUUGCUGCAUUGACUCUGCUUAAUAAAUACUGUUUUGCAAGGACA